RNAcentral lists this ribosomal RNA (362 nucleotides) under Metschnikowia typographi (nom. inval.). RNAcentral's name for it is "eukaryotic LSU rRNA". It matches the Rfam family "Eukaryotic large subunit ribosomal RNA", at positions 44 to 401 of the family's 3401-position model. The record is from RNAcentral. Lineage: Eukaryota; Fungi; Ascomycota; Pichiomycetes; Serinales; Metschnikowiaceae.
CAAUAAGCGGAGGAAAAGAAACCAACAGGGAUUGCCUCAGUAACGGCGAGUGAAGCGGCAAAAGCUCAAAUUUGAAAUCUUAGUGCCUUUGGUGCUACGAGUUGUAAUUUGAAGGUUGAGUUGUAGGUACCAGACAUUCCUAAGUCCAUUGGAACAGGGCGCCUUGGAGGGUGAGAGCCCCGUGAGGAAUGUUGUUCGGUGCCUUUAUACUUCUCUUCCAAAGAGUCGAGUUGUUUGGGAAUGCAGCUCUAAGUGGGUGGUAAAUUCCAUCUAAAGCUAAAUAUUGGCGAGAGACCGAUAGCGAACAAGUACAGUGAUGGAAAGAUGAAAAGCACUUUGAAAAGAGAGUGAAAAAGUACGUG